UGGGGAAUUUUGGACAAUGGGCGCAAGCCUGAUCCAGCCAUGCCGCGUGCAGGAAGAAGGCCUUCGGGUUGUAAACUGCUUUUGUCAGGGAAGAAAUCCUUUGGGCUAAUACCCCGGAGGGAUGACGGCACCUGAAGAAUAAGCACCGGCUAACUACGUGCCAGCAGCCGCGGUAAUACGUAGGGUGCGAGCGUUAAUCGGAAUUACUGGGCGUAAAGCGUGCGCAGGCGGCUUUGCAAGACAGAUGUGAAAUCCCCGGGCUCAACCUGGGAACUGCAUUUGUGACUGCAAGGCUAGAGUGCGGCAGAGGGAGAUGGAAUUCCGCGUGUAGCAGUGAAAUGCGUAGAUAUGCGGAGGAACACCGAUGGCGAAGGCAAUCUCCUGGGCCUGCACUGACGCUCAUGCACGAAAGCGUGGGGAGCAAACAGGAUUAAUACCCUGGUAGUCCACGCCCUAAACGAUGUCAACUGGUUGUUGGACGGCUUGCUGUUCAGUAACGAAGCUAACGCGUGAAGUUGACCGCCUGGGGAGUACGGCCGCAAGGUUGAAACUUAAAUGAAUUGACGGGGUCAUAGCUGUUUCCU
This 584-nucleotide ribosomal RNA is filed under the name uncultured bacterium. Its description in RNAcentral is "partial 16S ribosomal RNA". It matches the Rfam family "Bacterial small subunit ribosomal RNA", at positions 355 to 1375 of the family's 1533-position model. The record is from RNAcentral.